AGUCGAACGAUGAACCACUUCGGUGGGGAUUAGUGGCGAACGGGUGAGUAACACGUGGGCAAUCUGCCCUGCACUCUGGGACAAGCCCUGGAAACGGGGUCUAAUACCGGAUACUGACCCGCUUGGGCAUCCAAGCGGUUCGAAAGCUCCGGCGGUGCAGGAUGAGCCCGCGGCCUAUCAGCUUGUUGGUGAGGUAAUGGCUCACCAAGGCGACGACGGGUAGCCGGCCUGAGAGGGCGACCGGCCACACUGGGACUGAGACACGGCCCAGACUCCUACGGGAGGCAGCAGUGGGGAAUAUUGCACAAUGGGCGAAAGCCUGAUGCAGCGACGCCGCGUGAGGGAUGACGGCCUUCGGGUUGUAAACCUCUUUCAGCAGGGAAGAAGCGAAAGUGACGGUACCUGCAGAAGAAGCGCCGGCUAACUACGUGCCAGCAGCG
This 440-nucleotide ribosomal RNA is filed under the name Streptomyces sp. HVYN-6-1. RNAcentral describes it as "bacterial SSU rRNA". It matches the Rfam family "Bacterial small subunit ribosomal RNA", at positions 60 to 516 of the family's 1533-position model. The record is from RNAcentral. Lineage: Bacteria; Bacillati; Actinomycetota; Actinomycetes; Kitasatosporales; Streptomycetaceae.